This 510-nucleotide ribosomal RNA is filed under the name uncultured bacterium. RNAcentral's name for it is "bacterial SSU rRNA". It matches the Rfam family "Bacterial small subunit ribosomal RNA", at positions 791 to 1301 of the family's 1533-position model. The record is from RNAcentral.
UAGUCCACGCCCUAAACGAUGUCGACUAGUCGUUCGGAGCAGCAAUGCACUGAGUGACGCAGCUAACGCGUGAAGUCGACCGCCUGGGGAGUACGGCCGCAAGGUUAAAACUCAAAGGAAUUGACGGGGACCCGCACAAGCGGUGGAUGAUGUGGAUUAAUUCGAUGCAACGCGAAAAACCUUACCUACCCUUGACAUGUCUGGAACCUUGCUGAGAGGCGAGGGUGCCUUCGGGAGCCUGAACACAGGUGCUGCAUGGCUGUCGUCAGCUCGUGUCGUGAGAUGUUGGGUUAAGUCCCGCAACGAGCGCAACCCUUGUCACUAGUUGCCAUCAUUUGGUUGGGCACUCUAGUGAGACUGCCGGUGACAAACCGGAGGAAGGUGGGGAUGACGUCAAGUCCUCAUGGCCCUUAUGGGUAGGGCUUCACACGUCAUACAAUGGUCGGUACAGAGGGUUGCCAAACCGCGAGGUGGAGCCAAUCCCUUAAAACCGNUCGUAGUCCGGAUCGU